This 253-nucleotide ribosomal RNA is filed under the name uncultured bacterium. RNAcentral's name for it is "partial 16S ribosomal RNA". It matches the Rfam family "Bacterial small subunit ribosomal RNA", at positions 524 to 776 of the family's 1533-position model. The record is from RNAcentral.
UACGUAUGGUGCAAGCGUUAUCCGGAAUUACUGGGCGUAAAGGGUGAGUAGGCGGUCAAUUAAGUCAUAUGUGAAAAUCCAGGGCUCAACCCUGGACGUGCAUAAGAAACUGGUAGACUGGAGUGCAGGAGAGGUAAGCGGAAUUCCUAGUGUAGCGGUGAAAUGCGUAGAUAUUAGGAAGAACACCAGUGGCGAAGGCGGCUUACUGGACUGUAACUGACACUGAGGAACGAAAGCCAGGGGAGCAAACGGG